Molecule: long non-coding RNA, 801 nt
Filed under: Malus domestica (apple)
Lineage: Eukaryota; Viridiplantae; Streptophyta; Magnoliopsida; Rosales; Rosaceae
Description: long non-coding RNA (MDOM_LNC001576)
Source: RNAcentral
AAAGCUGUAUUUGACUUCUCAAACACAUCGUUGGCAAAUGGCAAUCAAACUGCAGUUGCUUUUGUUUUGCAUGGUCCUUGUUGCCCUCUUGGCUCUUACUGAAUGUAAGUAUAUAACUUCAUCCAUGAUUAGAUUUAAUAAAUAAUUUAUCAGAUUUAGUGGCUUGAAUAAACAAAUAGAUGCAAACUUCAUACAUAUACAUAGUCAUGAAGAAAAUUUAUCCUUUCCAAUAAAACUUGUAGGAUUGUUAGUGAUAUGGAAGUUGUCAUCUAUUAUAUUUCUUUCUCAAAGGACAUUAAAUUCUAUGAGUUAUUUGAACUUUACUUCUUUCGUUUACGGGGUAUAAUUUUAAGUAUUUUCUUUUUUCACUGGAAAUUAUAAACAGGUAAUGGAAACAACUUUGAUGUUCCUAGCAACAAGAAGAGUAAUGUGGUCGAGAAUUCAAUGGUGAAAGGUGAUGAACUGUGAAUAUCUGGGCCAGCAAACUGGAGCUAUGCUCACAAAGUUGUUCGCCAAAUCAGAUUCAAAAAUGUUGGUGUUGUGCAUUUAACCAUGAGUGCUGGAGGUCUCUAAAAGAAUGUCAACAAGUCUGUGACCCGCACAAAUUAAAUGUUAAACCCUAAACCCGUAAAGGGAAGAUAAUCCAUGUAUUGCACAAUUUUAUUAAGAAAAUAAUUUGAAUAUCAACGUCAAGAACCACAUAUUUCAUCAACAAUGUUGUUUUAAUUUUUUUUUAUACAAGCAUAUCUUUUUUCUAAGAGGUCGCACUUGGUGCGAUGGCAAGUGCCUUCGCCCAUAAGC